This 252-nucleotide ribosomal RNA is filed under the name uncultured bacterium. RNAcentral's name for it is "partial 16S ribosomal RNA". It matches the Rfam family "Bacterial small subunit ribosomal RNA", at positions 524 to 776 of the family's 1533-position model. The record is from RNAcentral.
UACGUAGGUGGCGAGCGUUGUCCGGAAUUACUGGGUGUAAAGGGAGCGUAGGCGGGAAGGCAAGUUGAAUGUUAAAUCUAUCGGCUCAACCGGUAGCUGCGUUCAAAACUGUUUUUCUUGAGUGAAGUAGAGGCAGGCGGAAUUCCUAGUGUAGCGGUGAAAUGCGUAGAUAUUAGGAGGAACACCAGUGGCGAAGGCGGCCUGCUGGGCUUUUACUGACGCUGAGGCUCGAAAGUGUGGGGAGCAAACAGG